This 1437-nucleotide ribosomal RNA is filed under the name uncultured organism. Its description in RNAcentral is "SSU rRNA". It matches the Rfam family "Bacterial small subunit ribosomal RNA". The record is from RNAcentral.
GUGCUUCACACAUGCAAGUCGAGCGAAGCACUUAAGUUUGAUUCUUCGGAUGAAUACUUUUGUGACUGAGCGGCGGACGGGUGAGUAACGCGUGGGUAACCUGCCUCAUACAGGGGGAUAACAGUUAGAAAUGGCUGCUCAUACCGCAUAAGACCACAGUACUGCCUGGUACAGUGGUAAAAACUCCGGUGGUAUGAGAUGGACCCGCGUCUGAUUACGUAGCUGGUGAGGUAACGGCCCACCAAGCCGACGAUCAGUAGCCGACCUGAGAGGGUGACCGGCCACCUUGGGACUGACACACGGCCCAGACUCCUACGGGAGGCAGCUCUGGGGAAUAUUGCACAAUGGGCGAAAGCCUGAUGCAGCGACGCCGCGUGAAGGAUGAAGUAUUUCGGUAUGUAAACUUCUAUCAGCAGGGAAGAAAAUGACGGUACCUGACUAAGAAGCUCCGGCUAACUACGUGCCAGCAGCCGCGGUAAUACGUAGGGGGCAAGCGUUAUUCGGAUUUACUGGGUGUAAAGGGAGCGUAUACGGCUGCGCUAGUCUGAAAGUGAAAGGCAUGGGGUCCACCUGGUGGCUGCUUUGGAAACCUGUGCAGCUAGAGGUGUGGGAGAGGGAAGUGGAAUUCCUAGUGUAGCGGUGAAAUGCGUAGAUAUUAGGAAGAACACCAGUGGCGAAGGCGGCUUACUGGACGAGGACUGACGUUGAGGCUCGAAAGCGUGGGGAGCAAACAGGAUUAGAUACCCUGGUAGUUCCACGCCGUAAACGAUGACUGCUAGGUGUCGGGUAGCAAAGCUAUUCGGUGCCGCAGCUAAUGCAAUAAGCAGUCCACCUGGGGAGUACGUUCGCAAGAAUGAAACUCAAAGGAAUUGACGGGGACCCGCACAAGCGGUGGAGCAUGUGGUUUAAUUCGAAGCAACGCGAAGAACCUUACCUGAUCUUGACAUCCCGAUGACCGCUUCGUAAUGGAAGUUUUUCUUCGGAACAUCGGUGGCAGGUGGUGCAUGGUUGUCGUCAGCUCGUGUCGUGAGAUGUUGGGUUAAGUCCCGCAACGAGCGCAACCCUUAUCUUCAGUAGCCAGCAUUAAGGAUGGGCACUCUGGAGAGACUGCCAGGGAUAACCUGGAGGAAGGUGGGGAUGACGUCAAAUCAUCAUGCCCCUUAUGACCAGGGCUACACACGUGCUACAAUGGCGUAAACAAAGGGAAGCAGAGCCGCGAGGCCGAGCAAAUCUCAAAAAUAACGUCUCGGUUCGGAUUGUAGUCUGCAACUCGACUACAUGAAGCUGGAAUCGCUAGUAAUCGCAGAUCAGAAUGCUGCGGUGAAUACGUUCCCGAGUCUUGUACACACCGCCCGUCACACCAUGGGAGUCAGUAACGCCCGAAGUCAGUGACCCAACCGAAAGGAGGGAGCUGCCGAAGGUGGGACCGAUAACUGG